Molecule: ribosomal RNA, 253 nt
Filed under: uncultured bacterium
Lineage: Bacteria
Description: partial 16S ribosomal RNA
Rfam family: Bacterial small subunit ribosomal RNA
Source: RNAcentral
UACAGAGGUCUUAAGCGUUGUUCGGAUUCAUUGGGCGUAAAGGGUGCGUAGGCGGCGCGGUAAGUCGGGUGUGAAAUCUUGGAGCUUAACUCCGAAACUGCAUUCGAUACUGCCGUGCUUGAGGACUGGAGAGGAGACUGGAAUUUACGGUGUAGCGGUGAAAUGCGUAGAUAUCGUAAGGAAGACCAGUGGCGAAGGCGGGUCUCUGGACAGUUCCUGACGCUGAAGCACGAAGGCCAGGGGAGCAAACGGG